AUUGAACGCUGGCGGCAUGCUUUACACAUGCAAGUCGAACGGUAACGGGCCUUCGGGUGCUGCCGAGUGGCGAACGGGUGAGUAAUGCAUCGGAACGUGCCCAGAGGUGGGGGGUAACGCAGCGAAAGCUGUGCUAAUACCGCAUGUGAUCUGAGGAUGAAAGCGGGGGACCAAGCAGCAAUGUUUGGCCUCGCGCCUCUGGAGCGGCCGAUGUCAGAUUAGGUAGUUGGUGGGGUAAAGGCCUACCAAGCCGACGAUCUGUAGCUGGUCUGAGAGGACGACCAGCCACACUGGGACUGAGACACGGCCCAGACUCCUACGGGAGGCAGCAGUGGGGAAUUUUGGACAAUGGGCGCAAGCCUGAUCCAGCAAUGCCGCGUGAGGGAAGAAGGCCUUCGGGUUGUAAACCGCUUUUGUACGGAACGAAAAGGCUCUGGCUAAUACCUGGGGCUGAUGACGGUACCGUAAGAAUAAGCACCGGCUAACUACGUG
This 492-nucleotide ribosomal RNA is filed under the name uncultured bacterium. RNAcentral's name for it is "partial 16S ribosomal RNA". It matches the Rfam family "Bacterial small subunit ribosomal RNA", at positions 30 to 507 of the family's 1533-position model. The record is from RNAcentral.